GGGGAUUUAGCUCAGUGGUUCCAGCGCCUGCCUCGAAAGCAGCAGGACCUGAGUUCGAUCCCCAGUACCA
RNAcentral lists this transfer RNA (70 nucleotides) under Heterocephalus glaber (naked mole-rat). It matches the Rfam family "tRNA". Rfam says of the family: Transfer RNA (tRNA) molecules are approximately 80 nucleotides in length. Their secondary structure includes four short double-helical elements and three loops (D, anti-codon, and T loops). The record is from Rfam by way of RNAcentral. Lineage: Eukaryota; Metazoa; Chordata; Mammalia; Rodentia; Bathyergidae.